AUUGAACGCUGGCGGCAGGCCUAACACAUGCAAGUCGAGCGGAUGAAGGGGCUUGGUUCCUGGGUUCAGGGGGGGAGGGGGAGGUAUGACUAAGAAUUGAGCAGGCUGUGGGGGGCUACGGUCUGAAAAGGGGAGCGAUCUCCUAAUACCUCCUAUGGAGUAAGGUGGGGAUUUUUGGAGCUUGAGACGUUUAGUUGAGCUUAGGUGGGAUUAGCGAGUUGGUGGGUUAAGGGCCUACCAGGGGGCCCACCCGUAACUGGUCUGAGAGGAUGAUCAGUCACACGGGAACUGAGACACGGUCCAGACUCCUACGGGAGGCAGCAGUGGGGAAUAUUGGACAAUGGGCGAAAGCCUGAUCCAGCCAUGCCGCGUGUGUGAAGAAGGUCUUCGGAUUGUAAAGCACUUUAAGUUGGGAGGAAGGGCAGUAAGUUAAUACCUUGCUGUGUUGACGUUACCAACAGAAUAAGCACCGGCUAACUUCGUG
Molecule: ribosomal RNA, 484 nt
Filed under: uncultured bacterium
Lineage: Bacteria
Description: partial 16S ribosomal RNA
Rfam family: Bacterial small subunit ribosomal RNA
Source: RNAcentral